UACGUAGGUGGCGAGCGUUAUCCGGAAUUACUGGGUGUAAAGGGUGUGUAGGCGGGGAGACAAGUCAGACGUGAAAGGCAGGGGCUUAACCUCUGCACUGCGUUUGAAACUGUUUUUCUUGAGUGUCGGAGAGGUAAAUGGAAUUCCCAGUGUAGCGGUGAAAUGCGUAGAUAUUGGGAGGAACACCAGUGGCGAAGGCGGUUUACUGGACGACAACUGACGCUGAGACACGAAAGCGUGGGGAGCAA
Molecule: ribosomal RNA, 248 nt
Filed under: uncultured Oscillospiraceae bacterium
Lineage: Bacteria; Bacillati; Bacillota; Clostridia; Eubacteriales; Oscillospiraceae
Description: partial 16S ribosomal RNA
Rfam family: Bacterial small subunit ribosomal RNA
Source: RNAcentral